CACGUAGGGGGCAAGCGUUGUCCGGAUUUAUUGGGCGUAAAGAGCUCGUAGGCGGCUUAGUAAGUCGGGUGUGAAACCUCCAGGCUCAACCUGGAGACGCCACCCGAUACUGCUGUGGCUAGAGUCCGGUAGGGGAGCGUGGAAUUCCUGGUGUAGCGGUGAAAUGCGCAGAUAUCAGGAGGAACACCGGUGGCGAAGGCGGGUCUCUGGGCAACAACUGACGCUGAGGAGCGAAAGCGUGGGGAGCGAACAGG
This 254-nucleotide ribosomal RNA is filed under the name uncultured bacterium. RNAcentral describes it as "partial 16S ribosomal RNA". It matches the Rfam family "Bacterial small subunit ribosomal RNA", at positions 524 to 776 of the family's 1533-position model. The record is from RNAcentral.